This is a long non-coding RNA of Equus caballus (horse), 1936 nucleotides long. The record is from Ensembl. NCBI's taxonomy places the organism in Eukaryota, Metazoa, Chordata, Mammalia, Perissodactyla, Equidae.
UUGCUGGCCUCUGCACUAGAGGUGUGUACAAAAUCUAACUGGGGCGUUCCUGUGCUCCAAUAUCCUCACACACAUUAUUUCAAAACACUAACCGUCUGUCUCCACUGCUGUAUGGGUCUUAACAUCUGGAAAAUAAGUACGUUUUAUAUGGAUACUGUGUAUACUCAUCUCUUGGACUGACUCAUGCUGUCAGGUAAAAUGUGUUUAAAGUUCCCUCACUGGACAAGUACUCUGAGAGUCUUGUCUCAAAUGAAUAUGUUUGGGAGAAAAACACAUUCCUCAAAAGUCUUUGUGGACAAAUGUGAUGUGGAAGAAAAAGGGAUCUGAGAUCCCUGGGGUGGGGCCAGGGGAUUUAUGAGCUGACCAGGCUGGAGCUGUGGCCUACCUCAGCACCUGAGUGAGAAGCUUACCAGUCCCUGAGUCCUCUCCAUCCCUGACCUCAAGCGGCAGACAGCAUCAGGAGCGUAAAGCCCAUGGGUCACGUUUUCUGUCACUGGAGUCUUCUGAAUGCCCAGGCAUGCCAAUGGAGACCUGGCCUUGCUCACUCAAGCCUCCCCUGGCAGCCCAGUACCAGACAAAGCAGCUAAGGUAAAUCUAAGUCCAUCACAUCCACUCUUUAGGUCUCAGAGUCCAAUCCAUGCAAGAGUGCCCCCAGACCCAGGAUUGAUGAGUAGAGGUGGGGGCGAGUGGGAAGGAAAUAGAAAUAACUCAUUUCCCAUGGCAUCCACUCUACAAGCUUGGGUGAGCAUGACUGAUCAACUUCAUAUAGGUUGGGAAGGAUAUUAGUCGUUACAACAAGAUCUGAAAGUUCUAAGUUUUCUCUAUCAGUGCUUCAGAUAGAACAAGUCGUCUGUUUUACCUGGAAAUUCCAGUGUCAGAGCUUCUGUUUCUCUAACCUCUGCAGGGGCUAAGACUUGGGUGUCAUUAUUAGUCACUUGUACUCUAGCACGUAGAGAGGGCCUAAGACCUGAUGUUCUUGGGGACAUGGACAUAUUGGGGAGCAAGGCCUCCAAAAGUGGGCAUGAGAGGUUUGUCAAGGCCAGAGGGACUUAGAAUAUAAGCUUUACACAUCUCUGAGGCCGGCCCUGUCUCAUAUUCCCUUUCCACUGCCUCACUACACAGCAAUGCCUUCACUGAUGAAACCUCUGGGGAAGAAACUCCUUUACAAUGAACACGGUGUGUUAAAACAAAAUAACAGCUUCAUAAAUCACACUAAACUGUGCUGCAAUAUAUUAGAUGGUUCAGCUGCAAUAUUCCCGCUGAUCUAUGCAGUCAGGGCACAAAUCUCGCAGGCACAGUUUUGAUUCAUUCCCCGCAGCUGAAGGAAAACAGAGUCUACCCGCCCUCAUUGGAGUCUCUACCUCCCCUCCUUCAGGUAUUCUGAGACCUCUUGCUCUCUGACCCUCACAACCACGAAAUUCAGUCAACAAAAUUAUUUAUUGAUGGUCCACUCAGUACCAGAUAAGGGGAUUUAGUGGUUAAACACACACUCACACACAUGCCCCCCACAUUCACACUCAGGGAGAAAUUAAGCAAAUAGUCACACUAAUGUAUCACAAAGUAUGAUACGGGUUGUGAAGCAGAAUAAAAUGGUAAGAAAUCACAUUAGAAGGGAAUCUGACUAAUUUGAUGGGGAGAAUGACAUUGGGAUGUGUAAAAUUCCUACGGUGGGAAAGAGUUUGGUCUAUUCAAGGAACUAAAAGAAAGGACAGUACACCUGACUAGAGAAUGAGUGGCAGAAGCCCAAUAGGUAUGCUGGCAGGAUCAUGGGAAGCCAUGGGGUCAUGCUAGGGAUUUUAGUCUUUAUGUAAGAACACAUGGGGAUCCCCAGAAGAGUUUGUAGGAAAAGGGUUAUGAGAUCAAAUGUGCAUUUUAAAGAAAAUUUUAUUUUAUAGACAACAGAGUGGAGGGGAGGAAGAGUGGAUGGGAGAGACAA